CUGGGCACAUCCACCAUGGCCUUGACUCCUCUUUCACUCCUUGUCCUCACUCUCUGCACAGGCUCUGUGACCUCCAGUGAGCUGACUCAGCCUCCCUCAGUGUCAGUUGCCCUGGGUCAGACCGCUACAAUCACCUGCACGGGAGUGGAAAUAGAAUAUGUUUUUGUCUACUGGUACCAGCAGAAGCCAGGCCAAGCCCCUCUGACAGUCAUUUAUGAUGAUAGUGAUCGGCCUUCAGGGAUCCCAGAGCAAUUCUCUGGCUCCAAGUCAGGGAACACGGCCACCCUGACCAUUAGCAGGACACAGGCCGAGGACGAGGCUGACUAUUACUGUCAGUCCUAUGACAGCAGUGGUAAUUAUGUGUUCGGCGGAGGGACCCAGCUGACCGUCCUAGGUCAGCCCCCAUCGGCACCCUCGGUCACACUCUUCCCGCCCUCCUCUGAGGAACUCGCCGCCAACAAGGCCACCCUGGUGUGCCUCAUCAGUGACUUCUACCCCAGCGGCGUGACGGUGGCCUGGAAGGCAGACGGCAGCCCCGUCACCCAGGGCGUGGAGACCACCAAGCCCUCCAAACAGAGCAACAACAAGUACGCGGCCAGCAGCUACCUGAGCCUGUCGCCUGACAAGUGGAAAACUCACAGCAGCUUCAGCUGCCUGGUCACGCACGAGGGCAAAACCGUGGAGAAGAAGGUGGUCCCCUCACAGUGCUCUUAGGUCCCCGACACCCUCCCCCACCCAGCGGGGCCUGGAGCCACAGGACCUCCAGGACGAUCUUCCCGCCCCGCAGGGUCAUCCCAGCCCUUCUCCCCGCACCCCGUCAACACUCAAUAAAGUGUCCUUUAUUCAAUCAGAAA
Molecule: non-coding RNA, 854 nt
Organism: Lutra lutra (Eurasian river otter)
Lineage: Eukaryota; Metazoa; Chordata; Mammalia; Carnivora; Mustelidae
Source: the annotation of a RefSeq genome assembly